AGUUCCUGCCGGGCAGGGUGGGUAGCCGGACUCCCAACUGCGCCGUCUUCACGGAAGCGGGGCUGAGGCGGGGCCUGGGGGACUGCAGUGCUGGUGACUGGCCAGUCCUGCUGGGGGCGGGGCUUGUGGAAGACGGGGCGGGAUUUUGAAGACCUAGGUCUUGUGGAUUGGUGAACUCACUUGGGGCGGGGAGGGAGGUGGGGCUACCCUGGGGUCUCUGGCAAAGUCCUCGCCUGGCCGGCUUCGCCACCCUUGUGCUUGCGUUGCCCACAAGCUUGUACACAGAAGAACUCGCCUGGGAGGGAUCGCUCCUGGGAGAUCUGAACGCGGGAGGGCCUGGAGCGCGGCGGCAGCUGGAUAGUAUUAGGGACCAUCCGAAUAAUAAGCGUCCAAUGCCUCCAGCAGCAGAAGCUCAGCAGGUUGGAACAAAGAGAUUGCUGUGAUGAAGUUCUGAUGGUUGCACCAGGGUCUGAGGAGACACGCUGCUGGGUCUUGGCAGGAGCCUGGAUGGCCAUCUUUCUUCUGAUAGCGAUAGGCUGGAUGCUGGGAUAGAAGCCUGAUACCUCCUCCAACCCUAGUCCUUGGCCUCUAGUUUUACUCGCCUGAGGCAAGGGUAGAGUGGAGGAAGAUUUAGGGAAAGCAAGUAGUCCAUCUUAUUGUUAGGGACCAGAGAGGUUGGGGGUGCAGAUGAAACCAACAUCUGGUAAGGAGUGUGGCUGAUCAGCCUUGGGCUCUGCUUCCUCAUCCCACCUUUGCUUCCCAUCUCUGGAACUCUUCUAGGGGGAGAUUGAGUUACUUAGUAUGGUAUGGGGAGGUGCAGAGGGUAUGGCUAAUAAACAGCCGGGAAUUCUACUUUGUCUAACUCCUUUCUGUGCAAUCCAGAUCUUAUAUUGAGGGGGUUGGGGAUGGCAGGGAGAAGUCACUUUAUCCUCUAUCUCUCCAUAUGUAAAAUGAGAGUUUGAACCGAUGAUCUCUGCUUCAACAUGGGGACUCUAUGACUGUCAUUCCAGGGAAAGUUCCUGGGCCUUGGCCAGCUGGCCCUAAGUCUCCUUUCUUUUUUUCUGCAAAAUGGGCACGAACUAUUCAAUUUCAGAAUGAGGAUAAAUGUAUACACACACUAUUAUCCAAGCCUCCUUCUCCUGCCCCUUAAUUAUUUCUGACCUCAUUAGCUCCCCCUUCCUAGUAGAGGGUGGAUAUGGCAGCAGUGUUUGUGUGAAUAUCAUUCCUUUAUUCAAAAACAGGUUGGAAUCUGUUAUGCACUUGUUAACUGUAUUAGGCCUGGGGGAUUCAACAGUACAAAAGACAGAGUCUUUGACCUUACAGAGAAAACAGUUGAGUUUGGGGAGUAGGUAGUGAGGACCAGGAAGCAAGACAGGGUUUAUAAGUUGGCAGAGGUGGGACCUACCCAUAAGGUAGAAUUUCACAAAAACACAGGAAGGUCCUGUGCCUUCUUUUGAUGUUUCAUUUUUGAAAUACAAUUUUUUAUUAAUAUCCACGAUUAUUUUAGAAAUUAAUUUCCUGGGGGAAAACAUGAGUACAAGCAACACAAUAAAAGUUAAAUUUGGCCAGGCACAGUGGCUCACACCUGUAAUCCCAACACUUUGGGAGGCCAAGUUGUGCCAGAUAGCUUGAGCCCAAGAGUUUCAGAGCAGUCUGGGCAAUAUAGUGAGACCUUCUUCUCUACAAAAAAUUUAAAAAUUAGCCAGGCAUGGUGGUGUGUACCUGUAGUUCCAGCUACUCAGGAGGCUGAGGUGGGAGAAUCACCUGAGCCCAGGAGGUCAAGGCUGCAGUAAGCUGUGUUACUGC
Long non-coding RNA from Pongo pygmaeus (Bornean orangutan), 1806 nucleotides. RefSeq lists it as uncharacterized. The transcript has 3 exons. NCBI's taxonomy places the organism in Eukaryota, Metazoa, Chordata, Mammalia, Primates, Hominidae. The record is from RefSeq and is a predicted model, not a curated record.